Molecule: unclassified non-coding RNA, 378 nt
Filed under: plant metagenome
Description: partial contains 5.8S ribosomal RNA, internal transcribed spacer 2, and large subunit ribosomal RNA
Rfam family: 5.8S ribosomal RNA (bases 1-105)
Source: RNAcentral
GAAAUGCGAUAAGUAAUGUGAAUUGCAGAAUUCAGUGAAUCAUCGAAUCUUUGAACGCACAUUGCGCUCCUUGGUAUUCCUUGGAGCAUGCCUGUUUGAGUAUCAUGAAAUCUUCAAAGUAAAUCUUUUGUUAACUCAAUUGGUUUCUACUUUGGUAUUGGAGGUCUUUGCAGCUUCACACCUGCUCCUCUUUGUUCAUUAGCUGGAUCUCAGUGUUAUGCUUGGUUCCACUCGGCGUGAUAAGUUAUCUAUCGCUGAGGACACUGUAAAAGGUGGCCAAGGUAAAUGCAGAUGAGCCGCUUCUAAUAGUCCAUUGACUUGGACAAUACUUUUAUGAUCUGAUCUCAAAUCAGGUAGGACUACCCGCUGAACUUAAGC